Molecule: ribosomal RNA, 301 nt
Filed under: uncultured bacterium
Lineage: Bacteria
Description: partial 16S ribosomal RNA
Rfam family: Bacterial small subunit ribosomal RNA
Source: RNAcentral
CAGUCGCCGCGGUAAUACGUAGGUGGCAAGCGUUGUCCGGAAUUAUUGGGCGUAAAGGGCUCGCAGGUGGUUUCUUAAGUCUGAUGUGAAAGCCCCCGGCUCAACCGGGGAGGGUCAUUGGAAACUGGGAAACUUGAGUGCAGAAGAGGAGAGUGGAAUUCCACGUGUAGCGGUGAAAUGCGUAGAGAUGUGGAGGAACACCAGUGGCGAAGGCGACUCUCUGGUCUGUAACUGACGCUGAGGAGCGAAAGCGUGGGGAGCGAACAGGAUUAGAUACCCGGGUAGUCCCUGUCUCUUAUAC